RNAcentral lists this transfer RNA (86 nucleotides) under Chromatiales bacterium. Its description in RNAcentral is "tRNA-Leu". It matches the Rfam family "tRNA". Rfam says of the family: Transfer RNA (tRNA) molecules are approximately 80 nucleotides in length. Their secondary structure includes four short double-helical elements and three loops (D, anti-codon, and T loops). The record is from RNAcentral. Lineage: Bacteria; Pseudomonadati; Pseudomonadota; Gammaproteobacteria; Chromatiales.
GCCUGGGUGGCGAAAUUGGUAGACGCGCCAGAUUUAGGUUCUGGUUGCCAAUGGCAGUGCGGGUUCGAGUCCCGCCUCAGGCACCA